CCUACGGGAGGCAGCAGUGGGGAAUAUUGGACAAUGGGGGGAACCCUGAUCCAGCGACGCCGCGUGAGUGAAGAAGUAUUUCGGUAUGUAAAGCUCUAUAAGCAGGGAAGAAAGAAAUGACGGUACCUGAAUAAGAAGCUCCGGCUAACUACGUGCCAGCAGCCGCGGUAAUACGUAGGGGGCAAGCGUUAUUCGGAUUGACUGGGUGUAAAGGGAGCGUAGACGGGGUUGCAAGUCGGAGGUGAAAGGCGGGGGCCCAACCCCUGGACUGCUUUGGAAACUGUAUGGCUGGAGUGCAGGAGAGGUAAGUGGAAUUCCUAGUGUAGCGGUGGAAUGCGUAGAUAUUAGGAGGAACACCAGUGGCGAAGGCGGCUUACUGGACUGUAACUGACGUUGAGGCUCGAAAGCGUGGGGAGCAAACAGGAUUAGAUACCCUUGUAGUC
Molecule: ribosomal RNA, 443 nt
Filed under: uncultured bacterium
Lineage: Bacteria
Description: partial 16S ribosomal RNA
Rfam family: Bacterial small subunit ribosomal RNA
Source: RNAcentral